AAAGUGGAGCAAUCCAUGAGUACAGUGGCGUACGGGUGAGUAACACGUGGGUAUCUAACUCUUAGUGGGGAAUAACCCAGGGAAACCGGGGCUAAUACCGCAUAAGCUCGAGAGAGGAAAGCAGCAAUGCGCUGAGAGAGGAGCCCGCGGCCGAUUAGCUAGUUGGUAGGGUAAAGGCCUACCAAGGCAGAGAUCGGUAGCCGGCCUGAGAGGGCACACGGCCACACUGGCACUGAAACACGGGCCAGACUCCUACGGGAGGCAGCAGUGGGGAAUCUUGCACAAUGGGGGCAACCCUGAUGCAGCGACGCCGCGUGAGCGAUGAAGCCCUUCGGGGUGUAAAGCUCUUUCGUCAGGGAAGAUAAUGGCGGUACCUGGAGAAGCAGCUGCGGCUAACUACGUGCCAGCAGCCGCGGUAAUACGUAGGCAGCGAGCGUUGUUCGGAGUUACUGGGCGUAAAGGGUGUGUAGGCGGUUCUUUAAGUUUGGUGUGAAAUCUCCCGGCUCAACCGGGAGGGUGCGUCGAAUACUGAGGGACUAGAGUACGGGAGAGGAAAGUGGAAUUCCUGGUGUAGCGGUGAAAUGCGUAGAUAUCAGGAGGAACACCGGUGGUGUAGACGGCUUUCUGGACCGUAACUGACGCUGAGACACGAAAGCGUGGGUAGCAAACAGGAUUAGAUACCCUGGCAGUCCACGCCCUAAACGAUGCAUAUUUGGUGUGGGUCAUUCAGUUGAUCCGUGCCGGAGCUAACGCGUUAAAUAUGCCGCCUGGGGAGUACAGUCGCAAGGCUGAAACUCAAAGGAAUUGACGGGGGCCCGCACAAGCGGUGGAGCAUGUGGUUCAAUUCGACGCAACGCGAAGAACCUUACCUGGGCUCGAACGGCUUCUCAACGCC
RNAcentral lists this ribosomal RNA (895 nucleotides) under uncultured Bacillota bacterium. RNAcentral's name for it is "bacterial SSU rRNA". It matches the Rfam family "Bacterial small subunit ribosomal RNA", at positions 71 to 1000 of the family's 1533-position model. The record is from RNAcentral. Lineage: Bacteria; Bacillati; Bacillota.